UCUUCUUCUUCCCUCUGAUUUCUUGGCUCCAAUCAUUUUCGAUUAAAGCAGAAUCCAGAGUGCUGAUUUUCCACUGAAAAGCAUCAAUAUUGUUAAAUGUAUUACCACUCCUCAAGAACAACAAACAGCUUAUAAAACAAAGGUUUUUCGCAAUGCGAACAUUGCCAAGCUUCAAGCUGGUUACCUGUUUCAGGAGGU
Hibiscus syriacus is the source of this 198-nucleotide long non-coding RNA. RefSeq lists it as uncharacterized. NCBI's taxonomy places the organism in Eukaryota, Viridiplantae, Streptophyta, Magnoliopsida, Malvales, Malvaceae. The transcript is spliced from 3 exons. The record is from RefSeq and is a predicted model, not a curated record.